This is a long non-coding RNA of Diachasmimorpha longicaudata, 425 nucleotides long. RefSeq lists it as uncharacterized. The transcript is spliced from 2 exons. NCBI's taxonomy places the organism in Eukaryota, Metazoa, Arthropoda, Insecta, Hymenoptera, Braconidae. The record is from RefSeq and is a predicted model, not a curated record.
UGCUUAUCACGUUAAAUGAUAAUUCGUCCAUACUUUUUAUUUAUUCUGUUUGGAAUUGAUAUUCUUGAAUGAAUACUCACUCCAAUCACCUCCACACGGUGAUAGUUUAUCACCAAUUCAAUAUUUUUCUUCUUCCAUUAAAAAAAAUGUGAGGAGUUAGCUAUAAUCGGCUCCCAAUACAACAAUUUUGUUUACAUUUUUUUCUGCAUUUAUCCACAAUAAUUUUCGCGUUAUGCACUCAUUGCUUCGAUAUUCACUGGUUCCCACAUGAAAAAUCUGGCAUUUAUUGUCUUCAAGUGAAGGAACAAUGGAUUGCAUGUCAGCAGGCAAUUCUUUUCAUCUCUCUGGUGUAAUUGAAGAAAUUUUUCUGGGGAUCAUGAUGAUCUUCCAGAGGUAUCCGAACAGCAAGGAUAGUCCUACCAUAA